CACUAGCCCAUAGCCCGACUCAAAUCCACAAAAAAAAAACAAAAGACCCAACAGCAGCCCUAUCCAACCAUCACUGCCUGAAACUGCCACUGAUCAUCAUGGCCACAGCUACCAAAAUAAACCUCAAACCAGAGCCAACCACAACUAACCAAACCACCAUCUCAAAAAAGGCUUAAAUCGCUGACAAAAAAAAACCACUUGAAAGGAGGCGACGCAAAAGAGCCUCCAGCUUGUCUAAAGCCUAUGGGAGCGGUGAUUGCCGGACGCAUCCGCGCGAUCCUAGGUUGCUGCCGUCGACAUGCAAUAACCCUCUGUUGAAGCAGAGGCAAUGACCACCAAUCGGGGAGAAGAUUUAAAAAAACGAAGCCUCCUCACCACUAGUCCACUGCCAAAAUCGAUCCAUAUCCAACCACAAGUAAAACCGCAAAUAUCCUAACGAAAACCACAAACAACAAAUAAAACUGUACACACGCCGAGCGAUGGAGAGACUAGGAAUGGAAGCUCUUUCCCCGCCAGCCGCUGAUGGAUUAUUGCUUUCAUUCUUUAUCGAAGGCAAAUCAACCGUCAUCAGUAGCUUAUUAUCCAAGUGAAUUUGUUUCUCUUGGUCCUUAUUUCUUCCUGAUUCUACAUCAGUAGCUUGUUACACUUUAGAGGAUAUACUGUGAGCUAUUUGUUUGAUAGUUUUUUUGUGAGAGAAAUUGACACAAUAGCCAAGCAACGCAAAGAAUAAUGGCAAACAGCAAAUACGAGUAUGUGAAGUCAUUCGAGGUUAAUGAUGAGGUCAUGUCCCCUAACCUCAUUGUUGUUCGAAUUAAUGGCUGUGACUUUCGGAGAUUCUCUGAAGUUCAUGAAUUUGAGAGACCAAAUGAUGAGACAGCCUUGAAUUUGAUGAAUGCUUGCGCAAUCUCUGUUUUAGAAGAGUAUCCUGACAUUGUCUUCUCCUAUGGCUUUAGUGAUGAAUAUAGUUUUGUUUUCAAGAAGACAACAAAGUUCUACCAAAGGCGAGCCAGCAAAAUUCUAUCCCUCAUUGUUUCCUUUUUCUCUUCAAUUUAUCCUACAAAAUGGAAAGAGUUCUUCCCCCAGAAAGAGAUGAGAUAUCCCCCAACAUUUCAUGGGCGGGUCAUAUGUUGUGCAACAAUAGAGGUUCUACAAGAAUAUCUUUCAUGGAGACAAAAUGAAUGCCAUACUAAUAACCAGUAUAACACUUGUCUUUGGAAGUUGGUUGAAAGUGGGAAGACUGAAAAAGAAGCGCAAGAAAUUUUGAAGGGCACUCAAAAGCAAGAGAAAAAUGAGCUUCUCUUUCAACAAUUUGGUGUCAACUACAAAAAACUUCCUGAGAUGUUUCGUCAAGGAUCUUGUGUUUUCAUGAAACAAGAGGAAGAUAUUGCAAAGUAUAGUGAGAAUGGUACUCCUGUCAAGAGACUACGGAGAAAGGCAAGAAUAGUCCAUUCUGAGAACGUUGCUGGGAGAAGCUUUUGGAAUGUGCACCAAAAUCUUCUCAAGGACAUAGGCGGUUUUGCAGAAGAUAAUGGUAAAAUUAACCCUGACUACAUUAGGUCUUUCCUAUUCGAAAACAAAUUGAUGCCGUCUACUUGGAUUGUGAUUAGAAUUGAUGGAUGCCAUUUUCACAGAUUUUGUGAUGUUCAUGCAUUUGAGAAGCCGAAUGAUUUGCAAGCUCUGAACCUUAUGAAUUCAUGUGCAAUGGCCGUUUUAAAAGAGUUUCAAGAUGUUAUGUUUUCUUAUGGUGUUAGUGAUGAGUACAGCUUUGUUCUGAAGAAGGACUCUGAAUUUUUCCAGAGGCGAGCCAGUGGUAUUGUUUCUGCCAUCGUGUCAUUCUUCUCCUCAAUGUAUGUGAUGAAUUGGAAAUCUUUCUUCCCAGAGAAAGAACUCAAGUAUGCUCCUUCCUUUGAUGGAAGGGCUAUAUGCUAUCCUUCAUCUGAGAUUCUUCGAGAUUAUCUUUCUUGGAGACAAGUUGAUUGCCACAUCAACAAUCAAUACAAUACUUGUUUUUGGGCACUUGUUAAGUCUGGAAAAAGUAAAAGUGAUGCUCAAAAUACUUUAAAGGGUACUCAAGCACGAGAGAAAAAUCAAAUGCUCAAGCAAUUUGGUAUUGACUACAAUGCAUUACCAGCCAUGCUUCGCCAGGGUUCCUGUGUUUUCAGAUUAAAGAUUAGACAUUGAUAUUGCGGGAAAGAUGUAGUUUUAUUUGGCCUUCAUUUAUGUGAAUAAUGUUUUUCUGAAACUUGGAAUGCCAACUGCGGAAACCAAAGGAUAGAAUAUAUUUGGUGAACUGUGGUGAUUGGCCUUCAUUGUAGACUUUGACAUGCUCUUUAAUACUCCAAACUUUCAAAGAUGGCUGAAACUGUCUUACGAUGUUUGACAAAUAGAAUGAGGAUGUUGUGAUACAUGACAAUGGAGCAUGUGUUAAAAAGGUAAUUGUAGACUAUUGCAACAUAAUUGAGCCGAGUUUUUGGGAAGCACAUCCAGGCAUCAUUGAUUAAAAGCCCUAUGUACUAGUAAGCACCUUUUUGUC
Manihot esculenta (cassava) is the source of this 2533-nucleotide RNA transcript. It is a transcript of the gene named tRNA(His) guanylyltransferase 1, with no coding region annotated. The transcript is spliced from 14 exons. The record is from RefSeq and is a predicted model, not a curated record. NCBI's taxonomy places the organism in Eukaryota, Viridiplantae, Streptophyta, Magnoliopsida, Malpighiales, Euphorbiaceae.